Non-coding RNA from Vicugna pacos (alpaca), 889 nucleotides. NCBI's taxonomy places the organism in Eukaryota, Metazoa, Chordata, Mammalia, Artiodactyla, Camelidae. The record is from RefSeq and is a predicted model, not a curated record.
UUUUUGUCCUUAUUUAUAUUUUCUUGUGGGCCCAUUAUACUUCAAGAGGGUGAUGGGCGGUGUGUGCGUGCUUCAUGGCGUAGUUCAAUUAAGCACUCUAUUCUUAAUUUGCUACUAAACCCUCCUUUAGCCUUCAAUUUCAUAAGAGCCUUCGUUAGAGCUGUAGAUUUUCUUGGCGGCAAGAAAAUGCAGCCCAUUUCUUCCCAUCCCAUUGGUUACACCUUGACCUAACAUUUUCAUUUUUAAAUAGUUAAGCUUACUUUUAUUCCCUUCGGGGGUUUGCUGGAGAUGGCGGUAUAUAGACUGAAUUAGCGAGGGUUGGUAAGGUUGAUUGGGGUUUAUUGAUUAUAGAACAGGCUCCUCUAGGAGGGUAUGAAGCACCGCCAAGUCCUCUGAGUGUUAAGCAGUUGCUAGUAGUACUCUGGCAAGCGAUUUUCUCAUCAUAAUCACCUGGGUUUAAGGCUAAGCAUAGUGGGGUAUCUAAUCCCAGUUUGGGUCUUAGCUGUCGUGUAAUUAGAUAGUACUAGGGUCACUUCCGUAGUUUAUUUUCACUCUGGCUAUAGCCAUCUACAUCCUAGCCAGGGCUUAACUCUAUUUUUUUGUUGUUGUUGUUGUUACUCAUUAACACACUUUACGCCGUAUCUCUAUUAAUUCGGGUUGAUCGUAUGACCGCGGUGGCUUGCACGAAAUUUACCAACCCUGAAUAAUAUAACUUAGUCAAACUUCCAUUUAUGACUUAAUUUUUUAUCACUGCUGUAUCCCGUGGGGGUGUAGUUAAGCAAGGCGUCGUUAGCUACAGCUUUGUGUGCUUGAUGCCGGCUCCUUUUAUCCAUUGAGAGUUAGGGGCCAUUCUCACUGGGAUGCAGAUACUUGCAUGUGUAAUUUCAUU